AGGACGAACGCUGGCGGCGUGCUUAACACAUGCAAGUCGAGCGGAAAGGCCCUUCGGGGUACUCGAGCGGCGAACGGGUGAGUAACACGUGAGUAACCUGCCUCUGACUUUGGGAUAACCCUCGGAAACGGGGCUAAUACCGGGUAUUCAUUCCUUGCGGCAUCGUGGGGUGUGGAAAGCUUUUGCGGUCAGGGAUGGGCUCGCGGCCUAUCAGCUUGUGUGGGUGAUGGCCUACCAAGGCGACGACGGGU
RNAcentral lists this ribosomal RNA (251 nucleotides) under uncultured soil bacterium. RNAcentral's name for it is "partial 16S ribosomal RNA". It matches the Rfam family "Bacterial small subunit ribosomal RNA", at positions 26 to 284 of the family's 1533-position model. The record is from RNAcentral.